AGUUUUAUAGUUUAUAAAAAAUUUUAAAUUGCAAAUUUAAAGAAUUAUUUUUUUUAAUAAAACUU
RNAcentral lists this transfer RNA (65 nucleotides) under Helorus sp. ZJUH_2016017. RNAcentral's name for it is "tRNA-Cys". The record is from RNAcentral. Lineage: Eukaryota; Metazoa; Arthropoda; Insecta; Hymenoptera; Heloridae.